GCAUGAAGGUACAGCUUAUCCAGCAGAAAUAUCAGAGGCCAGGCUCCCAAUACAAACUCCUUCAGACUUCUCAGUACUCAAGACAUCUCAAGGUUUUGAACAGUAAAGUAUAAAAUACUGGCAGAGGCGGGUAGGGCGAACAAGAAAAACUGGUGACAGCCCAGAAAAAAUAUCCAAGGGGAUUGCAUUUUUCUUCUCCAAAGCAAAACAGAAUUCAUAACUAAAAGAGGAAUAGAGAAAGAGGAAAAAAGUGAUCUGGGACCUGUUGUUUUUCUUUUAUCCCAUUUCUACUCUGCCUGUGAGUGAAGACUGUUGUGGAAAAGUCAACUGGAGAGACCAGGUCAAAGGCCAAGCAGAAGAGGAAUUAGGCUUAAGACUGCACUGAGAGGGAACACUAGACCACGGUGAAGUGGGAAACAUGAAAUAAAGCAGAAUGAACUAGAAGAGAGACCUUAUGAGGACCUGAAAACAGCCUUCAAAUACCCAAGUGACAUCUUAUAGAAAUUGAAUUAAGAUUUAACUGAGUGGGACAAUUCUGAAGAUAUUGAAUGUAUUUGUUUCAAACUCUGAGCAUGAUUGAUUUCAUAAUCUGUAUCCUGGUGUCUUCACACUAAAGCAGAUUUUUGAAAGAAAGUCCAAAACCCCUGGUGAAAGUUUCAAUUAUCUUGAGGUGUACAUCUGAACCAUCCACAAGAUCAUUUUUUCUAUAGUAGGAAAUUUGCAGCUGCUCAAGUACUAUGAAACAUGACAUAUUUGACUUUCACCUCUCCACUUUUGAACCUUCAAAAAAAUCUGCAAAAAAGGAAUGUUUUAAGUCCCUCCCUACCCUACCCCACCCUUUUUCUUAACUCUCUACCUGAAGCAGGAGAAAUAUUAGGAAAUUUACCCUCACUCUCAACAGCUCUCACAGAAGCCUUCAAGAAGCUACACUUACAAGAGAAGCAUGAACUGAGCACUGGAGAGCUGCAGAGGGUCACGGUGUAUGACAGUCAACUUUAUACAUUCACACUUCAGGCAUCUUAUUCUAACUAACUGCAUAAGCCUGACUGGUUCCUUAGAAAACAUGGCACUGACUUUAACUGAGACGUUUCUAUUUUAGUGCAGCCAGACUACAUGGGAGUCUAUUCCUCUACCAUUUAGUAAUUUAGAUACUUUCAAUAUUAUUGCUAACUGACUCUUGAGGUAUAAGAGCCUUAAUUAUGUUGGUUUAAUAUUUUAUGCUUAAAUAUUGUUAUUUAUAAACUAACAGUGGGAAAUGCUACAACUUCCCCAUGUUUCUUUUUUAUUUCAGUGCUAUAAUAAAAUAUGGUAUCGCUGAUUGAGGCUUACAUUUCAUUAAUGAUACUUGUAAUUAGGAUUAUGAUUUAAAAUAUUUAGUCUUUAUCCACACAUUACAGGAGUGAGCAAUCUUUAAAGACCUCUCUUCCUAACCACCAUCUUUUUCUAAUUUGAACCUAUAACUUUACCAACCACAAAGACAGGGACUAGGGUGUAAUAUCAUAUCUGGGUAUAACUCGCACACAAACGUACAAAUUACCUUGUUCAUCAGGGGCUAUGCCUACAAAAUACUCCAUGACAUCACAGUAUUUAGCAUUCUACAUAGACAAAAAUAAUGUGACAUUUAUUUGCAAGUUAUUAAGAAAAAUGUGUAAACUAUAUGCCACUAACACUUCUAUUUCUGAUAUUUUUUUCCUCAGUGAGAGAAAAAAAAAAGAUUCAUCCUCAGGUAACU
Long non-coding RNA from Cercocebus atys (sooty mangabey), 1732 nucleotides. RefSeq lists it as uncharacterized. The record is from RefSeq and is a predicted model, not a curated record. The transcript has 3 exons. NCBI's taxonomy places the organism in Eukaryota, Metazoa, Chordata, Mammalia, Primates, Cercopithecidae.